UACAGAGGGGGCAAGCGUUGUUCGGAAUUACUGGGCGUAAAGGGCGCGUAGGCGGCCUUCUAAGUCGAACGUGAAAUCCCCGGGCUCAACCCGGGAACUGCGUCCGAUACUGGAAGGCUUGAAUCCGGGAGAGGGAUGCGGAAUUCCAGGUGUAGCGGUGAAAUGCGUAGAUAUCUGGAGGAACACCGGUGGCGAAGGCGGCAUCCUGGACCG
Molecule: ribosomal RNA, 213 nt
Filed under: uncultured bacterium
Lineage: Bacteria
Description: partial 16S ribosomal RNA
Rfam family: Bacterial small subunit ribosomal RNA
Source: RNAcentral